This is a non-coding RNA of Potamilus streckersoni, 66 nucleotides long. The record is from the annotation of a GenBank genome assembly. NCBI's taxonomy places the organism in Eukaryota, Metazoa, Mollusca, Bivalvia, Unionida, Unionidae.
GUAGCUCAGUUGGUAGAAAGUUGGAUUCAUAAUCCAAGGGUUAUGGGUUCAAUGACCUCCAAAUCA